UUGGUUCCGGUUCACGUGCCCGCACCCGCCCGCACGACCCGGCGACC
RNAcentral lists this non-coding RNA (47 nucleotides) under unclassified sequences. RNAcentral describes it as "L31-Actinobacteria ribosomal protein leader". It matches the Rfam family "L31-Actinobacteria ribosomal protein leader". The record is from RNAcentral.